RNAcentral lists this ribosomal RNA (403 nucleotides) under Actinomycetes bacterium. Its description in RNAcentral is "Actinobacteria bacterium partial 16S ribosomal RNA". It matches the Rfam family "Bacterial small subunit ribosomal RNA", at positions 355 to 776 of the family's 1533-position model. Lineage: Bacteria; Bacillati; Actinomycetota; Actinomycetes. The record is from RNAcentral.
UGGGGAAUAUUUCACAAUGGGGGAAACCCUGAUGCAGCGACGCCGCGUGAACGAAGAAGGUAUUCGUAUCGUAAAGUUCUGUCCUAUGGGAAGAUAAUGACAGUACCAUAGAAGAAAGCUCCGGCUAAAUACGUGCCAGCAGCCGCGGUAAUACGUAUGGAGCGAGCGUUGUCCGGAAAUAUUGGGCGUAAAGGGUACGCAGGCGGUUUAAUAAGUCGAAUGUUAAAGAUCGGGGCUCAACCCCGUAAAGCAUUGGAAACUGAUAAACUUGAGUAGUGGAGAGGAAAGUGGAAUUCCUAGUAUAGUGGUGAAAUACGUAGAUAUUAGGAGGAAUACCAGUAGCGAAGGCGACUUUCUGGACACAAACUGACGCUGAGGUACGAAAGAGUGGGGAGCAAACAGG